CUGAUGCAGCGACGCCGCGUGAGGGAUGACGGCCUUCGGGUUGUAAACCUCUUUCAGUAAGGAAGAAGCGAAAGUGACGGUACUUGCAGAAGAAGCGCCGGCUAACUACGUGCCAGCAGCCGCGGUAAUACGUAGGGCGCGAGCGUUAUCCGGAAUUAUUGGGCGUAAAGAGCUCGUAGGCGGUUUGUCGCGUCUGCCGUGAAAGUCCGGGGCUUAACUCCGGAUCUGCGGUGGGUACGGGCAGGCUAGAGUGCAGUAGGGGAGACUGGAAUUCCUGGUGUAGCGGUGAAAUGCGCAGAUAUCAGGAGGAACACCGAUGGCGAAGGCAGGUCUCUGGGCUGUAACUGACGCUGAGGAGCGAAAGCAUGGGUAGCGAACAGGAUUAGAUAC
Molecule: ribosomal RNA, 390 nt
Filed under: Neomicrococcus lactis
Lineage: Bacteria; Bacillati; Actinomycetota; Actinomycetes; Micrococcales; Micrococcaceae
Description: bacterial SSU rRNA
Rfam family: Bacterial small subunit ribosomal RNA
Source: RNAcentral